Molecule: ribosomal RNA, 780 nt
Filed under: uncultured bacterium
Lineage: Bacteria
Description: bacterial SSU rRNA
Rfam family: Bacterial small subunit ribosomal RNA
Source: RNAcentral
CUUAACACAUGCAAGUUGAAGGAGAAGUCUUGGCUUCGGUUGAGAUGGAGACUGGCGCACGGGUGAGUAACGCGUAGACAACCUGCCUGAAUCUGGGGGAUAACCGCCCGAAAGGGUGGCUAAUACCGCAUAAUGCAGCGGGGCCGCAUGGCCACAGUUGUUAAAAAUUUCGAUUGGAUUCAGAUGGGUCUGCGUGCUAUUAGUUAGUUGGUGAGGUAACGGCUCACCAAGGCGAUGAUAGCUAGGGGGUCUGAGAGGAUGAUCCCCCACACUGGGACUGAGACACGGCCCAGACUCCUACGGGAGGCAGCAGUGAGGAAUCUUGCGCAAUGGGGGAAACCCUGACGCAGCCACGCCGCGUGCCGGAAGACGGCCCUAUGGGUUGUAAACGGCUUUUAUUUGGGAAGAAUCUGGGGGUUUCGAUCCCCACUGACGGUACCAAUUGAACAAGCACCGGCUAACUCCGUGCCAGCAGCCGCGGUAAUACGGAGGGUGCAAGCGUUGUCCGGAAUCAUUGGGUGUAAAGGGUGCGCAGGCUGGCGCCUAAGUCGGAGGUGAAAUCUUGCCGCUUAACGGUAAAAUUGCCUCCGAUACUGGGUGUCUUGAAUCUGACAGAGGUCGGUGGAAUUCGUGGUGUAGCGGCGAAAUGCAUAGAUAUCACGAAGAACAUCAGUGGCGAAAGCGGCCGGCUGGGUCAGUAUUGACGCUGAGGCACGAGAGCGUGGGGAGCGAACAGGAUUAGAUACCCUGGUAGUCCACGCUGUAAACGAUGUAUGCUAG